GUAAAAAUUUGUAACAAGGUCUCCGUUGGUGAACCAGCGGAGGGAUCAUUG
This 51-nucleotide ribosomal RNA is filed under the name Diaporthe caulivora. RNAcentral describes it as "partial small subunit ribosomal RNA". Lineage: Eukaryota; Fungi; Ascomycota; Sordariomycetes; Diaporthales; Diaporthaceae. The record is from RNAcentral.